AUUGAACGCUGGCGGCAGGCCUAACACAUGCAAGUCGAACGGUAACAGGGAUCCGCUUGCUGAUUCGCUGACGAGUGGCGGACGGGUGAGUAAUGUCUGGGAAACUGCCUGAUGGAGGGGGAUAACUACUGGAAACGGUAGCUAAUACCGCAUAACGUCGCAAGACCAAAGAGGGGGACCUUCGGGCCUCUUGCCAUCGGAUGUGCCCAGAUGGGAUUAGCUAGUAGGUGGGGUAACGGCUCACCUAGGCGACGAUCCCUAGCUGGACUGAGAGGAUGACCAGCCACACUGGAACUGAGACACGGUCCAGACUCCUACGGGAGGCAGCAGUGGGGAAUAUUGCACAAUGGGCGCAAGCCUGAUGCAGCCAUGCCGCGUGUAUGAAGAAGGCCUUCGGGUUGUAAAGUACUUUCAGCGGGGAGGAAGGGAGUAAAGUUAAUACCUUUGCUCAUUGACGUUACCCGCAGAAGAAGCACCGGCUAACUCCGUG
RNAcentral lists this ribosomal RNA (490 nucleotides) under uncultured bacterium. Its description in RNAcentral is "partial 16S ribosomal RNA". It matches the Rfam family "Bacterial small subunit ribosomal RNA", at positions 30 to 507 of the family's 1533-position model. The record is from RNAcentral.